AUGCAAGUGACCACAAUGAUUCCAGUGCAUUGACCAUCACCAAGAAAAGAAAGAGCCUUCACUGGAAAAAGAAAGAAAGAAAAAAAAACAGGGUGCCCUGGACCAAAGCUGACACUGAAAUCCUUAAGCGCAUAUUUCAUCCAUGUAUUACAUCAAAUAAGCCUCCAACAAAAAAUGAUGUUUUAUUAGGGACAAGGAAAAACACUUAUGUGAAAACAAUGUUCGAAAAAAGAGGCUGGAAGUGUAUUAAGUAUUACGUUUGGAGCCUGACACAGCAGCAUCAGAAAAAAAAGAUGAAACUUUUGCAAGCAUCUUCUUUGCGGAACUAAAUCUAUGUUAUGUUCGUCAAGAAAUGUUUUGAUUCCAAUAAUGAAGAGUGUGCCGUUUUUGGUGUUUUACUUUACUUUUAUUUACUUGUGACGACGAAAUGACUCGGUUGAAUUAAUUCCAUUUCUCGGAAGAACCUAGGAUAGAAUUAUCUACGUACAUUUGUUUUGCAUCCAAUGAUACACUGUAUAUGUACUUAUAUCAGCAAAUGUUAAUUGGUGCUCUGAAUGAGUUAGACAUUUAGUACAUACAAUUUUCUCCUCACAAAAUUUAAAUAAUUUUCUUGCAAAUUCCCUUUGAACAUUUAGCUUGAAUCCUUAUGUCUCCAUCACCGUCAGUCUUUGCCUUUGUGGCAAAAUCCUCAAUGUUUAUUCUAAGGCUUCUUCUGUUUCUUAAUAAUAAUUCCAUUCACUCUCCAAAAUAACUCGUCUUAAUUUGAUCCAGGGAAAUACCUGUGUUUGACAUUUAAGUGGCAAUGCAAGAUAUACAAGCGAAUGUUUGUUACCACUAUUUUUCAUUAAAAAAGAUAAAAUUAGGACCUGUUUCAUUUGUAUGGAUGAUUUUAAAUAUAUAUAAUCAAUGUCAUCAAGGUCAUAUAUUGGAAUAAGAAAUCCUGACCUUUUACAUAGUACUAUGGAAGUAUUAGAGAACUCUCAAUGAUAACAAAUCUCAGAUAUAGUGCAGAGGAAAAUGUGAAAUGUUACAUUGUAUGUGUUUAUUUAAUGCAAUAUUGCAUUCAAUAUUAGUAUGAUGCCAUGUUAUUUUCAACUUACUACAUUUCAUGUUUAAGCCUAAGGCUAUUUGGAUAUUUAUACCCUUCGAUGCAAAACAAUGCAAUGUUUGAUAUCUUUUGAAGACUGAGAGAUUUGUUUUUUUGAAUUUCAGUUAUUGUUUAAUUUGGUAUUGAAGAUAAAAAAUGUUCACUGUUGAUUUGAUUGCGAUCUUUACAGCUAGUGCUAGCUAUCUAGUUGUUAUUAUUUGUUUUUGUGUGAAUAAAUCCAUUGUAUCAA
Long non-coding RNA from Pecten maximus, 1337 nucleotides. RefSeq lists it as uncharacterized. The record is from RefSeq and is a predicted model, not a curated record. The transcript is spliced from 2 exons. Lineage: Eukaryota; Metazoa; Mollusca; Bivalvia; Pectinida; Pectinidae.